AAGUAUAGUUUAACAAAAACACCAGUCUGUGGUUCUGGUGACAGGGGUUAGAAUCCUCUUACUCACCAG
Molecule: transfer RNA, 69 nt
Filed under: Osteochilus salsburyi
Lineage: Eukaryota; Metazoa; Chordata; Actinopteri; Cypriniformes; Cyprinidae
Description: tRNA-His
Rfam family: tRNA (bases 2-63)
About the family: Transfer RNA (tRNA) molecules are approximately 80 nucleotides in length. Their secondary structure includes four short double-helical elements and three loops (D, anti-codon, and T loops).
Source: RNAcentral